Molecule: ribosomal RNA, 1447 nt
Filed under: uncultured bacterium
Lineage: Bacteria
Description: partial 16S ribosomal RNA
Rfam family: Bacterial small subunit ribosomal RNA
Source: RNAcentral
AGGGUUUGAUCAUGGCUCAGAACGUACGCUGGCGGCACGCCUAACACAUGCAAGUCGAACGCAGUAGCAAUACUGAGUGGCAGACGGGUGAGUAACAUGUGGGAAUCUGCCUUGUGGUUCAGGACAACAUUGGGAAACCGAUGCUAAUACUGGAUAAGCCCUUACGGGGAAAGUUUUAAUGCCAUAAGAUGAGCCCGCAUUUGAUUAGUUAGUUGGUGAGGUAAUGGCUCACCAAGACAAUGAUCAAUAGCUGAUCUGAGAGGAUGAUCAGCCACACUGGGACUGAGACACGGCCCAGACUCCUACGGGAGGCAGCAGUGGGGAAUCUUGCACAAUGGAGGAAACUCUGAUGCAGCGAUGCCGCGUGAGUGAAGAAGGCCUUUGGGUUGUAAAGCUCUUUUGUAGGGGAAGAUAAUGACUGUACCCUAAGAAUAAGGUCCGGCUAACUUCGUGCCAGCAGCCGCGGUAAUACGAAGGGACCUAGCGUAGUUCGGAAUUACUGGGCGUAAAGCGCGCGUAGGCCGUUGAGUUAGUUAAUUGUGAAAUCCCAAAGCUUAACUUUGGAACUGCAAUUAAAACUGCUCGACUAGAGUUUGAUAGAGGAAAGCGGAAUACAUAGUGUAGAGGUGAAAUUCGUAGAUAUUAUGUAGAACACCAGUUGCGAAGGCGGCUUUCUGGAUCAACACUGACGCUGAGGCGCGAAAGUAUGGGUAGCAAAGAGGAUUAGAUACCCUCGUAGUCCAUACCAUAAACGAUGAUUGCUAGAUGUUGGAAAUUUAUUUUCAGUAUCGCAGCUAACGCAUUAAGCAAUCCGCCUGGGGAGUACGACCGCAAGGUUAAAACUCAAAUGAAUUGACGGGGACCCGCACAAGCGGCGGAGCAUGCGGAUUAAUUCGAUGCAACGCGAAGAACCUUACCAAGGCUUGACAUGUAGAGGAAAACUGCAGAAAUGUAGUCCCCCGCAAGGGUCUCUAUGCAGGUGGUGCAUGGUUGUCGUCAGCUCGUGUCGUGAGAUGUUGGGUUAAGUCCCGCAACGAGCGCAACCCUCGUCCUAUGUUGCCAGCACGUAAAGGUGGGAACUCAUGGGAGACUGCCGGGGUCAACUCGGAGGAAGGUGGGGAUGACGUCAAAUCAUCAUGCCCCUUAUGUCUUGGGCUUCACGCAUGCUACAAUGGCCGGUACAAAGGGCUGCAAUACCGUAAGGUGGAGCGAAUCCCAAAAAGCCGGUCUCAGUUCGGAUUGAGGUCUGCAACUCGACCUCAUGAAGUCGGAGUCGCUAGUAAUCGUAGAUCAGCAACGCUACGGUGAAUACGUUCCCGGGCCUUGUACACACCGCCCGUCAAGUCACGAAAGUCGGUAACACCCGAAGCCGGUGGCCUAACCGCAAGGAAGGAGCCGUCGAAGGUGGGACUGGUGAUUGGGACUAAGUCGUAACAAGGUAACCGUA